RNAcentral lists this ribosomal RNA (548 nucleotides) under uncultured bacterium. RNAcentral describes it as "bacterial SSU rRNA". It matches the Rfam family "Bacterial small subunit ribosomal RNA", at positions 98 to 633 of the family's 1533-position model. The record is from RNAcentral.
GCGGAUGGGUGAGUAAGGCGUAGGUAAUCUGCCGCAGGGCCGGGGAUAACAUCGCGAAAGCGGUGCUAAUACCCGAUGAUGCAGCGGCCCCGCAUGGGGACAGUUGUUAAAUCCCGACAGUAGUCGGGAGCCUUGUGAUGAACCUGCGUGCCAUUAGCUAGUUGGUGGGGUAAGGGCCUACCAAGGCGAUGAUGGCUAGGGGGUCUGAGAGGAUGAUCCCCCACACUGGGACUGAGACACGGCCCAGACUCCUACGGGAGGCAGCAGUGAGGAAUCUUGCGCAAUGGGGGCAACCCUGACGCAGCCACGCCGCGUGCUGGAAGACGGCCCUAUGGGUUGUAAACAGCUUUUACUGGGGAAGAACCUGGAGGUUUCGAUCUCCACUGACGGUACCCAGUGAAUAAGCACCGGCUAACUCCGUGCCAGCAGCCGCGGUAAUACGGAGGGUGCAAGCGUUGUCCGGAAUCAUUGGGUGUAAAGGGUGCGCAGGCGGAAGUCUAAGUCGGAGGUGAAAUCUUGCCGCUUAACGGUAAAAGGGCCUUCGAAAC